Ctenopharyngodon idella (grass carp) is the source of this 622-nucleotide long non-coding RNA. RefSeq lists it as uncharacterized. NCBI's taxonomy places the organism in Eukaryota, Metazoa, Chordata, Actinopteri, Cypriniformes, Xenocyprididae. The transcript is spliced from 5 exons. The record is from RefSeq and is a predicted model, not a curated record.
GGAACGGAAAAUACACAGCGGUUUCUGACGGACUGAUUUCAGAGUUGCUACAUCCAUCAGACUGAUGCAAGAGCCAGCUCCAGGCGUGCUCUUUCCGAUAGUGUUCAGUGUUGUGCGUUCAUGAAAAAAAAUUAAACUUUGGAACCUGAAACAUGGAGAAAGCCGGAAGAUCAGCAGUGUCUGGAAAGUGGAAAAAUGCACUCGGUUCUGUGAUGGAGCUGAUGGAGAAUGAGAAUGGUCAGAUUACUGGGAUGUACACAACCGCUGUUACUUCAAAAGAGUCCAGCCUCAAAGAAGAACCUGCUGAACUUGUGGGCUACAUCAACAGAAACCAGACCAAACAGACCACUACUAUUGCCUUCUGCAUGGCCUGGAAGAUAAAAGGCUCGUGCAGUGCUUUCUCUGGCCAGAUCUUCCAGGAUGACGAUAGUACUGAUGUACUGAAGACCACCUGGCUUCUACAUUCACCUGCGGAUAGCCCCUGUAACAACUGGGAAGCAACACGCGUUGGGGAAGACACAUUCACCAGAUGCCCAUGAACGAGAUUCUGAAGGAUAGGAAGAAGUGGAAAAUGAUUUGAAAAACAUGGCUUACUAUCAAAAUAAAAUUUGAUUAACAUAUG